UUGCCCUUUAUUUCUAUUCCUCUUACAAUAACUGAAUUCAUUAUUCAGCACCCAAAUUGUCAAUUUCACUCACUGCAUGUUGCCUCUGCCUUCCAAAAUCCACAACAAUUUUGCCUUCUGAAUAACAAUACAAAUUUUGUCUUCCUAUACUGUGGAAAAAUUGAUGGGUAUAUAUGUUGAGAGGAAAGGGAGAUGAGAUUUGACAGUGGAGAAGAAUAGAAGUGCUAUGGAAAGGGGAAGGAGAAAUAGUAGAAAGGGAAACUGAAUGUNN
Molecule: long non-coding RNA, 271 nt
Filed under: Trifolium pratense (red clover)
Lineage: Eukaryota; Viridiplantae; Streptophyta; Magnoliopsida; Fabales; Fabaceae
Description: long non-coding RNA (TPRA_LNC013492)
Source: RNAcentral